GAAGCAAUGAUGAGAUGAAAGCACAAUGCUGUGUUGGGCAGUGGGUUUAUACCGUGAGCUUUAACAUUAUUAAACGACUUCUCCUUCCACCGAGCUAA
Thalictrum thalictroides is the source of this 98-nucleotide non-coding RNA. The record is from the annotation of a GenBank genome assembly. NCBI's taxonomy places the organism in Eukaryota, Viridiplantae, Streptophyta, Magnoliopsida, Ranunculales, Ranunculaceae.